RNAcentral lists this ribosomal RNA (505 nucleotides) under uncultured bacterium. RNAcentral describes it as "partial 16S ribosomal RNA". It matches the Rfam family "Bacterial small subunit ribosomal RNA", at positions 28 to 507 of the family's 1533-position model. The record is from RNAcentral.
GACGAACGCUGGCGGCGUGCCUAAUACAUGCAAGUAGGACGCACAGUCUAUACCGUAGCUUGCUACACCAUAGGCUGUGAGUUGCGAACGGGUGAGUAACGCGUAGGUAACCUGCCUAUUAGAGGGGGAUAACUAUUGGAAACGAUAGCUAAUACCGCAUAACAGUAUGUAACACAUGUUAGAUGCUUGAAAGAUGCAAUUGCAUCGCUAGUAGAUGGACCUGCGUUGUAUUAGCUAGUAGGGAGGGUAAUGGCCUACCUAGGCGACGAUACAUAGCCGACCUGCAAGGGUGCUCGGCCACACUGGGACUGUGACACGGCCCAGCCUCCUACGGCAGGCAGCCGUAGGGAAUCUUCGGCAAUGGGGGGAACGCUGACCGAGCAACGCCGCGUGAGUGCAGAAGGUUUUCGGGUCGUAAAGCUCUGUUGUUAAGGAAGAACGAGUGUGAGAAUGGAAAGUUCAUACUGUGACGGUACUUAACCAGAAAGGGACGGCUAACUACGUG